This 738-nucleotide non-coding RNA is filed under the name Ceratophysella communis. Lineage: Eukaryota; Metazoa; Arthropoda; Collembola; Poduromorpha; Hypogastruridae. The record is from RNAcentral.
AAAAAGUUUGAUUCUUGCUUAGGAGAUUACUGUUUAUAUUUUUUACAUGCGUUUUUGUUAAUUUACGAUAGGAGCAGUAUUUUGAAUUAUACUACCAUAAAUUGGGUAUAAAAAUAUAAUUUUUGUUGAAUAAAUAUGUGCCAGCAUUCGCGGUUAUACAUAAGACAUAAGUGAUCAAUUUUGGUUAAAAUAAAAUUUAUUUAGUUAUAAUUCUCUAUAAAUAGUAGAUUUUAGGUGAAAUUAUAUAUGCUAUAAGUAAUUUAUUUAAGUUUUUAAGAAUUAUUGAAAAACCCGGAUUAGAUACCCGGCUAUAGAAAAAUAGAUUGGCUACCUAAGUAUUAGUAUUUAUUUAUAAACUUAAAGAAUUUGGCGGCAUUUUAUUCUUUUUAGAGGAACUUGCUCAGUAAAUGAUAAUCCACGCUUAAAUCUACUAAUUUAAAUUCUUAUAUACCGCUGUCUUAAGAAUAGAUUAUGAGAUUUUUUCUGAAAUAAUAGCUUUAAGUAAGUCAAGUCAAGGUGUAGACAAUAAUUUAGUUGAAGUGAGUUACAUUAGUUGAAUUUAUGGUAUUAAGUUGAAUGAAAUAAUUAAUUAAAUUGGAUUUAAUAGUAAAAUUAAAGUUUUAUUUAUAUGGGGUUUGAAAUUAGUUCUAAAAUGUGCACACAUCGCCCGUCGCUCUCGUUAUAAGAUGAGAUAAGUCGUAACAAAGUAGAUCUGCUGGAAAGGGGCUCUUGGAAGAG